AUGAUGGUAAUGGGAGAGAUUACUGCCGAGCAGUAACGCCGAAGGAGUAAGCCCGGACCCGGGUGAAUCUCUCAGGCAAAAGGACGAUUACCGGACG
RNAcentral lists this non-coding RNA (97 nucleotides) under Paenibacillus rhizosphaerae. Its description in RNAcentral is "Glycine sequence". It matches the Rfam family "Glycine riboswitch aptamer". Rfam says of the family: This family represents the bacterial glycine riboswitch. Glycine riboswitches usually consist of two metabolite-binding aptamers domains with similar structures in tandem. The record is from Rfam by way of RNAcentral. Lineage: Bacteria; Bacillati; Bacillota; Bacilli; Caryophanales; Paenibacillaceae.